CCCGGAAAUGAGGCAAGGUCCCUCCACCCCACAGUAGGGCAGGACACACACUCUGAGCUGUUUAACCCUGUAAGCUCAGGUUCUCCUCACAAAGGAAUCUCACCGUUGCAUUCUGCACCCGCUGGAGUUUCUGGGUCAGCUUCACGGCCAGCCCCGCGUAGAGCGAGUUACAGUAAUCAAGGCUGGAGGUGACUGUUGCAUGGAUCAUUGUGGCCAGAUCAGGGCGAGAAAGGUAAGGGACCAACUGCUUGAAAUGGCAGAGAUGGGAAAAUGCCACCUUUGCUGUGGCUGAAACCUGCGCCUCCAUGGAAAGGGAGGCUUCAAAGGUUACACCCAAGCUCUUGACAGAAGGCGCUGGCACUAAUUUGAGCCCCCACAAGAGAUGUGAGUUGGCCCCCCAACCCCAUGUUGUCCCGACCCAGCCAAAGGACCUGUCUUCGAAGGAUUUAACUUCAACCGGCUCCCAUGCAGCCAUCCAGCCACAGUUUCCAAGCAUCUGGUCAGUGUGUCCAGGCCGAGUCAGGGCGGCCGUCCAUCAACAGAUAAAGCUGGGUGUCAUCAGCAUAUUGAUGACAACCCAGCCCAAACCCCCAGACAAUCUGGGCAAGAUACUGAAGAUACUGAAAAGCAUCGGGGAAAGGAUUGCGCCCAGUGGGACUCCACACACCAAGGAGUGCCGCGGCGACAACUCCCUCCCUAGCGCCACCCUCUGUCCCCGACCUGAGAUAAAGGAGUGCAGCCAUUGUUGGACUGUGCCCUGAAUCCCCACAUCAGCAAGGCAGUGGUCCAAAAGUUUGUGACCGACCAUAUCGAAGGCUGCUGACAUGUAAAUGCAUGAUCUUUAAAUCUCUAGACAAAAGGGACAAAUUGUUGCUUUAGAUAUGCUAUUAAAGUUAAAAUGGAAUGUAACCAAACCAAAGGUGAGAAAAAAAGUUUUUGGAAAGGAAGAGAUGUGUGGAAAAAUGCUAAAUGUCAUCUCAGUAUGUAAACCAAAAUAGUAGCUUUUAAAGGGGGAAAUGACUUCAUUUCCCAUCUAAUAAUUUCAUUAAAAGAUGCAAACUUGUCAAAAGUUCUAGAUUCCUUCAUAGAGAAAAUUGGUUUUUAAAAACCACACAGACUUUGUUUUCCUUUCUGACUGCUAACAGUUCAAAGCUUUCAAAAGCAGAAUUUACAUCAAAUGAUAUUAUAUUUUUGCCUAACUUGCUGCUUCAACUGUUUCCAGAUCCUUGAUCAUCUUGAUUGCCCUCCGCUGCACAUGUUCCAACUUGUCAAUAUCCUUCUUAAAUUGCAGCACCCAGAACUGGACACAGAAUUCCAGGUGUGGCCUGACCAAGGCAGAAUACAGUGGUACUAUGACUUCCCUUGAUCUGGACACUACUUCUGUUGAUGCAGCCUAGAAUAGCAUUAGCUUUUUUGUAGAUGCA
Non-coding RNA from Podarcis lilfordi (Lilford's wall lizard), 1424 nucleotides. Lineage: Eukaryota; Metazoa; Chordata; Lepidosauria; Squamata; Lacertidae. The record is from the annotation of a GenBank genome assembly.